Molecule: ribosomal RNA, 461 nt
Filed under: Streptococcus cristatus
Lineage: Bacteria; Bacillati; Bacillota; Bacilli; Lactobacillales; Streptococcaceae
Description: bacterial SSU rRNA
Rfam family: Bacterial small subunit ribosomal RNA
Source: RNAcentral
GACGAACGCUGGCGGCGUGCCUAAUACAUGCAAGUAGAACGCUGAAGGAGGAGCUUGCUCUUCUGGAUGAGUUGCGAACGGGUGAGUAACGCGUAGGUAACCUGCCUGGUAGCGGGGGAUAACUAUUGGAAACGAUAGCUAAUACCGCAUAAUAUUGACUAUUGCAUGAUAGUCAAUUGAAAGGUGCAAAUGCACCACUACCAGAUGGACCUGCGUUGUAUUAGCUAGUUGGUGGGGUAACGGCUCACCAAGGCGACGAUACAUAGCCGACCUGAGAGGGUGAUCGGCCACACUGGGACUGAGACACGGCCCAGACUCCUACGGGAGGCAGCAGUAGGGAAUCUUCGGCAAUGGACGGAAGUCUGACCGAGCAACGCCGCGUGAGUGAAGAAGGUUUUCGGAUCGUAAAGCUCUGUUGUAAGAGAAGAACGAGUGUGAGAGUGGAAAGUUCACACUGGACG